Long non-coding RNA from Panicum virgatum (switchgrass), 982 nucleotides. RefSeq lists it as uncharacterized. The record is from RefSeq and is a predicted model, not a curated record. Lineage: Eukaryota; Viridiplantae; Streptophyta; Magnoliopsida; Poales; Poaceae. The transcript is spliced from 3 exons.
CUCUUCUACUACUGGUUUCCGUCUGGGAGUCUGGUCACAGAAGAAUUGACAAAGAUCAUUUACCAAAGAAACUGUAUGGUGAUGGACAUUAAUAGAAUCAAUGAUGAGCUACACGUUCCUAAAUUGUAACAAAUAUGCUCAGGCUUUGAAUCUGAAUUACCUUUGCCUUUUGCAUCUGCAUUCCCUUCCCAGCUUCUUCUCAAGGCCUUUGGUCCUGAUUCAAUACUCAUUAUGGUGUUACUAAGUGAAUUACUUACGGAGGACUUUCUCCCUGCUGUGGUAGCCUUCAAAACAGAAGCAGCCUUUUCUAACAAGGAUAGCCUAGAUGUGACAAAGCACCAGCGUCCUUUGAAUUGCCAGUGACGGUUGGUUGGGCCUUCUUGUUGCCAACAAAACUAGAGGAGCUAGUCACCACAAGAUCCUCCGGAUUGCCGACACAAGCAUGCCGGCCUGGAACUGGCCUGACUCCCCUCAAGAUUGGCACCGGAGUGGCUGCCUCGAAACGGUCUACAUGGAUGAAUUGCCCCAACUGAAUUGUGUCACUCAAUAUGAGAUCAUGCUGCUCAUCUGGGAGGGAGACGUAAGUCGCGUGCGACGAAUCAGAAACCUUGAGGUAGAACCCCUGGUUGGUGAACAGAUCACUCCCUGCAAGUGCCGGAACGAUGCUGACAACCUGAAGAAGGGAUGACCGGUGCUCGCCUGCAACCUUGACAUCACUGUUCAUGUGCUGGAGGAGCUUGAGAAGGACCCCGGGUACCAGUGACGCCAUUGCUGUAGCUCCCAAAGCACAUUUACCUGCGCAUUGUUGAGCAGGAUUCAGAAACCGUGAUCACUAUCAUAUAGAGGACAUAGAGCAUUGGAGUCAAAAAAAAAAAGGGGGGGGGGACAAUGAUGAGCUAACGGUGGACAACCUGGGCUAGCCGUGCCAAAAGUGAAUCUUCAACUAUCUAUAAUGAAAUAAAGGUUGCAGCUUUACACCAAA